AAUCAUUUGUGACAUAUGAAAUGCCCGGUUAUGCCGGAAUACUGUUAUCUGAGCAUUGAAAUCAUUUGUGACGCAUGAAUGGGUGAAAGUGAGGGACCUAAUUAAAAGACGGAACUGUGUGGUGCGGUAUGGGACGUGCCAUAACGGUUUAGUCUGGUAAUUGGGGACCCGGGUAAGUAUGUGACAUUUAUGUCCUUACAUAUGUAUGUGUUAAAAGUAUUCUGAUGAUAUAUGAUCUCGAUAUCUUAUGCAUGAUUUAAUUGACACUAACAUGCAGGAAAGUACUGGUAUUAAGAAAGUGUGAGAAAGGCGAUUAGAUUGCAUGUUGAGUGUACCCUUCUC
This 342-nucleotide long non-coding RNA is filed under the name Eucalyptus grandis. RNAcentral describes it as "long non-coding RNA (EGRA_LNC000552)". The record is from RNAcentral. Lineage: Eukaryota; Viridiplantae; Streptophyta; Magnoliopsida; Myrtales; Myrtaceae.